GAACUUUUACACCACGCCUUCCUCGCCGCCUUCUGCAGGAGUAUGGGAGGCACCACCGGGGCAGGGGCAACUGAGGGAGGCGCCCCCACCACAGCGGAAGCGCAAGACUCGUCCCAUACCCUCCACCCUCCCUGAUGACGGUGCCCUGGCCCCGAACGCCCCCCGCCCGCCGCGCACCCGAAAGGAAAAGCCCCGAAGUCGCAUGUCGUUCCGCCGCUUCGUCGACACCACCAUGGCGGGGAUCGCUAACCUUCAUGCCCAGGCUGCGGCGCCGCUCCUCCCACCGCCACCGCUUCGUGAGGGACGCUGAGCUCCACUAAGGACAAGGAGGCUUCGCUAAGGGCGCCGCUAACCCAGACACACCCACACCACCGCCCACACCGUCCACCACAACAGCAGGGGAAGGCACACAGACAUCUGACUAACACCCCAACGCCCCUCGCUACUAAUAUUAACAGGAGGCAGCCCACACUCCGUCAGCGCCCACACCCACACCCUCCCAGGAAGACCGCGGUGGUAAGGGACAAGAGUAAGCCAAACACCCCGCCCCUCCUGCGUCCCGGGCCCUCCCUACUCCUCCCGCCCCGUCAGUUCCUUUAGCCGCAGCGAGAGGUUGGGACACCAGGGUUGAGAUUAGGUAGGUUUUGUUGUUAUUGUUGUUUUUGUUUUGUUUGUUGACUCAUGAUUGUAAUGCUCUCUCUCUCUCUCUCUCUCUCUCUCUCUCUCUCUCUCUCUCUCUCUCUCUCUCUCUCUCUCUCAUGUUGUAUUUAUUUGUCUUAUUUAAAAUUUCUUUGUUUCUUUGUUUUAUUUUAUUUCAGUUUUAUUCAGUUUUUCUGUUUUUUUCUGUUUUUUCUCACUUUCUUUCGUUUUUAUCAUUUUUUUUCUUAUUCAUUCCAUUUACUUUGUAAAUAUAUCUUUAUUUUCUUUAUUUAUUUUGUUUUUGGUUGUUUUCGUUUCAUUGUGAGUCGAAAAACAAAAGACAUGCUUCACUAAAAAAAUCUAACCUUAUUGUAAAUAAUUUGGGUAUGGAAACUGUACAAAGGCAUGUUAUUAUUAUUAUUAUUAUUAUUAUUAUUAUUAUUAUUAUUAUUAUUAUUAUUAUUAUUAUUAUUAUUAUUAUUGCUUGUUACCACGGGGCUUGUGGGUAAUCAUAAGUUUCGUCCCCCACACAACAACAUGCUCUCCCCGGAUGUCUUUUUAUAUUGUUGAAUUCCACAAAAGUUAUAACAAAGAGGAACAGAUCGCUUAUAAUGGAAUUGGAGCUUACUUGGAGUGUUGACUUUAGGGAAUUUAUAGUCUAAGUGUUGUGUUUUAUACAGAAAUGUUUGAAAUUAUGGUGUUCAAUAUUAUUUUCGUAAACGGAAAGACAUAUAUUAUUUAUACUGUUUUUUAAGGAAAGGAAAUUAGUAAAUAUUGAGAUUAAAGCAAA
Molecule: long non-coding RNA, 1429 nt
Organism: Scylla paramamosain (green mud crab)
Lineage: Eukaryota; Metazoa; Arthropoda; Malacostraca; Decapoda; Portunidae
Exons: 2
Source: RefSeq, a predicted model, not a curated record